GAAGCAAUAGUUUAACGGAAAAACACACACUUUUAAUGUGACUUGCGGGUUCGAAUCCAGCUUGCUUUC
RNAcentral lists this transfer RNA (69 nucleotides) under Chryseobacterium shigense. RNAcentral's name for it is "tRNA-Lys". It matches the Rfam family "tRNA". From Rfam's summary of the family: Transfer RNA (tRNA) molecules are approximately 80 nucleotides in length. Their secondary structure includes four short double-helical elements and three loops (D, anti-codon, and T loops). Lineage: Bacteria; Pseudomonadati; Bacteroidota; Flavobacteriia; Flavobacteriales; Weeksellaceae. The record is from RNAcentral.